UACGGGGGGGGCAAGCGUUGUUCGGAAUUACUGGGCGGAAAGGGCUCGUAGGUGGCCAACUAAGUCAUACGUGAAAUCCCUCAGCUUAACUGGGGAACUGCGCCUGAUACUGGUUGGCUUGAGUUUGGGAGAGGGACGCGGAAUUCCAGGUGUAGCGGUGAAAUGCGUAGAUAUCUGGAGGAAAACCGGUGGCGAAGGCGGCGUCCUGGACCAACACUGACGCUCAUGCACGAAAGCGUGGGGAGCA
This 247-nucleotide ribosomal RNA is filed under the name uncultured bacterium. RNAcentral describes it as "partial 16S ribosomal RNA". It matches the Rfam family "Bacterial small subunit ribosomal RNA", at positions 524 to 770 of the family's 1533-position model. The record is from RNAcentral.